GAAUAGAGGCGCAGCCAACAGGAGUAGCGCGCGGGAGCCCCUCAACGGGCCGAGAUCGCGCGUCAAAGGGGAGGCUGCCGAAGCGUUGGGUAAGGUUGAGCCGCCCGGCGCUGGGCGGCGGAACAACAUUCCGCCGACUGUCACGGCUACGGCCGUGGAGCGCUAUUCA
RNAcentral lists this non-coding RNA (169 nucleotides) under human gut metagenome. RNAcentral describes it as "Lysine riboswitch". It matches the Rfam family "Lysine riboswitch aptamer". Rfam says of the family: Riboswitches are metabolite binding domains within certain messenger RNAs that serve as precision sensors for their corresponding targets. The record is from RNAcentral.